RNAcentral lists this ribosomal RNA (418 nucleotides) under uncultured bacterium. RNAcentral describes it as "bacterial SSU rRNA". It matches the Rfam family "Bacterial small subunit ribosomal RNA", at positions 917 to 1341 of the family's 1533-position model. The record is from RNAcentral.
GGACCCACACAAGCGGUGGAGCAUGUGGUUUAAUGCGAAACUACGCGCAAAACCUUACCCGCUCUUGACUUCGACCCUGGUCUUCAGGAGACUGAAAGACUUCAACGGUCGACAGGUGUUGCAUGGCUGUCGUCAGCUCGUGUCGUAAGAUGUUGGGUUAAGUCCUUUAACGAGCGCAACCCCUAUGGCUUGUUCCCCCCUGGUCACAGAGGUGGACUCUAGUCAGACCGCCAGUCACACACUGGAGGAAGGAAGGGAUGACGUCAAGUCCUCAUGGCCCUUAUGAGCGGGGCUACACACGUGCUACAUGGGAAAGGACAAAGGGAGGCCAAAGGGUGACCUGGAGCGAAACCUGAACCCUUUCCGUGUUCGGAUUGAAGGCUGCAACUCGCCUUCAUGAAGGUGGAAUCGCUAGUAA